RNAcentral lists this non-coding RNA (21 nucleotides) under Caenorhabditis elegans. Lineage: Eukaryota; Metazoa; Nematoda; Chromadorea; Rhabditida; Rhabditidae. The record is from RNAcentral.
UAAAUUCAAAUUGCUUGAAGA